Molecule: ribosomal RNA, 350 nt
Filed under: uncultured eukaryote
Lineage: Eukaryota
Description: SSU rRNA
Rfam family: Eukaryotic small subunit ribosomal RNA
Source: RNAcentral
CCAGCACCCGCGGUAAUUCCAGCUCCAAUAGCGUAUAUUUAAGUUGCUGCAGUUAAAAAGCUCGUAGUUGGAUUUCGGGUGGGACCUACCGGUCCGCCGUUUCGGUGUGCACUGGCAGGGCCCACCUUGUUGCCGGGGACGGGCUCCUGGGCUUCACUGUCCGGGACUCGGAGUCGGCGAAGUUACUUUGAGUAAAUUAGAGUGUUCAAAGCAGGCAUACGCUCUGAAUACAUUAGCAUGGAAUAACACGAUAGGACUCUGGCCUAUCUUGUUGGUCUGUAGGACCGGAGUAAUGAUUAAGAGGGACAGUCGGGGGCAUUCGUAUUUCAUUGUCAGAGGUGAAAUUCUUG